This 415-nucleotide ribosomal RNA is filed under the name uncultured bacterium. Its description in RNAcentral is "bacterial SSU rRNA". It matches the Rfam family "Bacterial small subunit ribosomal RNA", at positions 30 to 448 of the family's 1533-position model. The record is from RNAcentral.
AUUGAACGCUGGCGGCAUGCCUUACACAUGCAAGUCGAACGGCAGCACGGGAGCAAUCCUGGUGGCGAGUGGCGAACGGGUGAGUAAUAUAUCGGAACGUGCCCGGUCGUGGGGAUAACGUAGCGAAAGCUACGCUAAUACCGCAUACGAUCUACGGAUGAAAGCGGGGGAUCGCAAGACCUCGCGCGAUUGGAGCGGCCGAUAUCAGAUUAGGUAGUUGGUGAGGUAAAGGCUCACCAAGCCGACGAUCUGUAGCUGGUCUGAGAGGACGACCAGCCACACUGGGACUGAGACACGGCCCAGACUCCUACGGGAGGCAGCAGUGGGGAAUUUGGACAAUGGGCGCAAGCCUGAUCCAGCAAUGCCGCGUGCAGGAUGAAGGCCUCGGUUGUAACGUAGCUUUGUUACGGUAACG